GAUGAACGCUGGCGGCGUGCCUAAUACAUGCAAGUCGAGCGAACGGACGAGAAGCUUGCUUCUCUGAUGUUAGCGGCGGACGGGUGAGUAACACGUGGAUAACCUACCUAUAAGACUGGGAUAACUUCGGGAAACCGGAGCUAAUACCGUAUGAUAUUUUGAACCGCAUGGUUCAAAAGUGAAAGACGGUCUUGCUGUCACUUAUAGAUGGAUCCGCGCUGCAUUAGCUAGUUGGUAAGGUAACGGCUUACCAAGGCAACGAUGCAUAGCCGACCUGAGAGGGUGAUCGGCCACACUGGAACUGAGACACGGUCCAGACUCCUACGGGAGGCAGCAGUAGGGAAUCUUCCGCAAUGGGCGAAAGCCUGACGGAGCAACGCCGCGUGAGUGAUGAAGGUCUUCGGAUCGUAAAACUCUGUUAUUAGGGAAGAACAGAUGUGUAAGUAACUGUGCACAUCUUGACGGUACCUAAUCAGAAAGCCACGGCUAACUACGUG
RNAcentral lists this ribosomal RNA (497 nucleotides) under uncultured bacterium. RNAcentral's name for it is "partial 16S ribosomal RNA". It matches the Rfam family "Bacterial small subunit ribosomal RNA", at positions 28 to 507 of the family's 1533-position model. The record is from RNAcentral.